GGAUGGGUGGCCGAGUGGUUGAAGGCACCGGUCUUGAAAACCGGCGAGCGUGCAAGCGUUCCGUGGGUUCGAAUCCCACCCCAUCCGCCA
This 90-nucleotide transfer RNA is filed under the name Alphaproteobacteria bacterium. Its description in RNAcentral is "tRNA-Ser". It matches the Rfam family "tRNA". From Rfam's summary of the family: Transfer RNA (tRNA) molecules are approximately 80 nucleotides in length. Their secondary structure includes four short double-helical elements and three loops (D, anti-codon, and T loops). RNAcentral also lists the same sequence under 1 other name. Lineage: Bacteria; Pseudomonadati; Pseudomonadota; Alphaproteobacteria. The record is from RNAcentral.